UACAGAGGGUGCAAGCGUUAAUCGGAAUUACUGGGCGUAAAGCGUGCGUAGUCGGUUAUCUAAGUCGGAUGUGAAAUCCCCGGGCUCAACCUGGGAAUUGCAUUCGAUACUGGAUAGCUAGAGUUCGGCAGAGGGAAGUGGAAUUUCGGGUGUAGCGGUGAAAUGCGUAGAUAUCAGGAGGAACACCGGUGGCGAAGGCGGUUCUCUGGGCAUUACCUGACGCUGAGGAGCGAAAGUGUGGGGAGCGAACAGG
Molecule: ribosomal RNA, 253 nt
Filed under: uncultured bacterium
Lineage: Bacteria
Description: partial 16S ribosomal RNA
Rfam family: Bacterial small subunit ribosomal RNA
Source: RNAcentral